ACGGCCCAAAUUCACUUGAAAGGACUAUAUAACCAAGGCCUCUCCACCCGUGGGGAGAGAAGAGAAGAGAAGAAAUCAUUAUUCAGAGGUAGCCAUCAAAGUUAGGGUUUAGAGCUUCUCUCCCACAGAGAAUUAGAAUUAGCUACUCCCUAAUCCUUCAAGUUGAGAGGUUUGAUUAGAUAGCAAUUAGAGUAGAGCACUACGCUCUGGGUUCGGAUCUUCGGUAAUAAAGAUUGGUAUUAUUCAUAUCUUUCUCUAAUUCUUUGUUCUAAUUG
Molecule: long non-coding RNA, 275 nt
Filed under: Sorghum bicolor (sorghum)
Lineage: Eukaryota; Viridiplantae; Streptophyta; Magnoliopsida; Poales; Poaceae
Description: long non-coding RNA (SBIC_LNC008443)
Source: RNAcentral